CUUCCAAAGGCCCUUGUAGCUCUGAGAUGCUGUUAUUCUAGAAUAACUUCGAGGUCCAAACUAAUCAGUCCAUGAGGAUUUAACUUGCUAUUUGUUAGGCUCUGCGAAGUGGGGAUCAAGUGGUGAAUACGAUUGCCGUUUCAGAGACGGCCAAGCCGAAAGGGAAAGAACCCUGCUCUUUUAUUCCAACAGACGGGAAAAUAAAUUGAAACUCAAGAAAAAGAAAGGAGUUAUCCAAGGUCACAGGUGCUACUUGGGGGCCUUUCCAGCCUUGGCCGGAGGGAAGAGGAAGGAAACUCAGGGGGCUCCAAGAACCCCAGAGGACGGGAGGAGAGGGACCUCACGCUGCGAGCCCCAGAACCGCAGCCUGGGGCGGGAGCCGGACCGGGCGCUCCAAUGCCUGGAACAAUCCUGCCGGGAGUUCUCUCCCAGAAUCCUCCGCGCGAUGCAAAUGAGAGCGUCUUUU
Long non-coding RNA from Dromiciops gliroides (monito del monte), 466 nucleotides. RefSeq lists it as uncharacterized. The transcript is spliced from 3 exons. The record is from RefSeq and is a predicted model, not a curated record. NCBI's taxonomy places the organism in Eukaryota, Metazoa, Chordata, Mammalia, Microbiotheria, Microbiotheriidae.